Molecule: long non-coding RNA, 3329 nt
Organism: Magallana angulata
Lineage: Eukaryota; Metazoa; Mollusca; Bivalvia; Ostreida; Ostreidae
Exons: 4
Source: RefSeq, a predicted model, not a curated record
UAUAAUCAUCUAUAACAAAUAAAAAUGAAUUGUAUUAAAUAAAAUUACAUGCACUCAAGUAGUCUGUUAAUCACUCUGAAAACUCAUAUAAUCUUUAAGCAUAAUUUUCACAAUCAUAUCGUAAAGAUAUUCCUAUAUGCUACACAUUGUUCAUACAGAAAAAAAAACUUUAAAGUAAGUCAGAAACCAACCUGUUCUGUUCAAGACUUUCACAGGCAGCUCUUUGAAGUCACUGCUUGGAAAAAUACAUUGCUUCACAGCAACUUGUUUUUUCUGUGAACUACCUCUAUCUCCUUUUCUUCUGUGAAUUCCACCAUAACAAACUUGCAAGAAGACCUGAAAACUGAAAAUUUUUGUGCUACUGUAGCCCUUUUCACAAAAAUUCUUACGAUUAAUUUCUAUCAUAAGAGAAAACGUACGAUUUUGUCGGGUUUCACAAAGAUUCAUACGAGAUUUAUAAGUGUGAAAUCCAUCGUAACUUUACGACAGCCUCUACCCUCUCUUAAGUCUAAAAUAUUUUUCGUAAGUGUAAAAUAUUUGUCGUAAGAUAGAAAUAAAUAAACAAACAUGGCUGCGUUUUUGUUGUUGUUUGAGAACGAGAGAGCUUUGCGAAGAGAGAGAGAGUUUUCCGGGACAGAGGAAACCCUAUUGACAAUUUUACGGACAUCGAGUUGAUAGCGAGGUAUCGUUUUCCAACAAUACUGUAAAUUCCUAAUUAAACGCGAGGAAUUAAUAUCCGCGUAAAAUUGCGAUAAGCCCGUCUCGCGAAUUCUAAAAUCUCGCUUAUAAUUUUGGGAGACAUGUAAAACUACAUGAAACUGUAAUGAAAUUUCGGCAUUCGCGAUUUUAUGUUAUCGCAAUUCGAUGGUAAAUCGUAUAAUCGCGGAAUUAAGUACUCGCGUAAAGUAAGGAAUCUACAGUAACUGGAUUAACUGACUUAAUCAAAGAUAAGAGUACAACAUCCCACCUCUAGAUCCCAUGCCAUCCCUGCACUUGUACAAGUAAGUUCUUCAAUUAUUUAUAAAUUUCUUAACUCUUGAAAGAGGAGAGCUAACGGUAGUCAAUCAUUUUGUACUGCUACAAUGUAUUUUUGUAAUGGUGCGUUUCGCCGCUAUUGGCGAUUCGCACCGAGACGAUUCGCCCUAUCAGCAGACCCUUCGCUUUUAUAGACACUUCGAACCUUAUAAUAUAAUCUUAUCGAUAUAUUAAGAAUAUUUCACAGGUGUAUAUCUGUUUACAUAGUUUGUAAUUGUUAAUUAGGGUCAUUAAUUAAUUAAAAAUAAUACAGAUGUCAUAGAAGAGGUAAAAAUUACUAUCAACAAAGGAUAGGUACCAUUUUUUAAAUUAAUUCAGCAUGAAUGGUCUUUACGAUUGGAUCGUCAAAUUUCAUCUCUGUGACAUUGAAGAGAGGAGGCCUAGGGGCCACAUCACUCACCUGAGCAUUAUGGCUGUGAAAAAGCAAAAAUCAAUUUAGUACAUGCAUUGAAAAGCUUAAAUGGUUACCCUAGGGGGUCACAAUUUCUACAAACUUGAAUCUAUAUUAUCUGAGAAUGCUUUCAUAUGCAUCUCAGAUCAUACAUUGCAUUGUUGUGAGAAGAUUUUUGAAGAUUUGCAUGAGUUUUAUCUUUCUAAGCCCAUUUAGGUUCUUCUUCAGAGGAAUUUUAAAUGAUGCCAUUAAUUUGUCACUAUUGCGUAAUUAUCUCCCCCUGGAGGAAGCAUGGUCCUUCAUUAAAACAAACUUGAAUCCCCUUUACCCAAGGAUCAAUUUUGUGCCAAUUUUUUUUUAAAGUGGCCUGGAAGCUCUGCAUAAGCAGAUACAAUUGUGAACAUUUUAUAAUGACAAUGACAACAGACAAAUUUCAAUCAGAAAAGCUAAAAAGUUAAUAAUUCAUUCAAGUUGAUCAUGAUUAAAUAACAACCAUUAAUACCUGAUUAUAAAAUAAAGUGAUGUUGUAAUUUUGUUAAUCAAGUGUUCAAUAAGUUCCAACACAGUUAAGAUUGAGAAUAAUCAAUAUAAUUAAAGUCAAGUAAAAACAAGUUGUACUGAAAGAAAUAAUUUCUUGCAGGUCUUUGUUACUUUGCGAUUUCUAGCAAAGGGAGAUUAUAUUUCUGAGGUCGCAGACACGCAUGGUAUUUCCUUAUCCUCUGCCUCAAGGAUCAUUCAUAUUGUGUGCUUUGUACUUUGUCUCUGUCUCGACAAUAUCAGAUUUCCAACAUCCCAGCAAGAGCUAAAGAAAGUGAAGGACGAGUUCUUCAACAUACAGGGAUUUCCAAAUGUCGUUGGAGCCAUUGAUGGCAUUUUUGUCCCCAUCCAAGGCAUGGCAGGUGAUGAGGAACCUACUUUCAUUUGCCGGAAAGGAUUCCAUGCCAUUAACAUACAGGCUGUGGCAGUAGCUAAUCCUAGUUUUACCAACAUUGUGGUAAGAUGGCCAGGAUCCACCCAUGACUCUUUCACUCUGGCUCAUUCCUUCUUGCCACAAAUCAUGAGAUGAGUGAAUGGAUGGUUCCUGGGUGAAUCUGGCUACUGUGGAAUCAUUUAAUUUCGUGGGGGCCAAUUUUCGUGGAUUGUGGGUUUUUUGCUUGUUCGUGGGGAUCUAAUUUCAUGGAUGAGUCAGUUUUCAGUUUCAGUAGUAUCCACUGAAGAAAUGGUUGCUGACACCAUUUGCCCAGCCAUCCAACCAGCAGGUGCAGCAGUACAACUCCUCCCAUUGCUCGACGAGGAAUACUGUUGAGAGAGCUUUUGGCGUUCUCAAGAGCAGAUUUAGAUGCCUUCACAAAACAGGUGGUAGCCUGCAAUUCAGGACAGAGAAGUACAUCAAAAUCAUUGAAUGCUGCUUUAAGCUUCACAACAAGGCCAUUAGUGAAAGGGUGCCCCUGCAAGCAGGGAACAAUGCUGUGCCAGUGUACCACAACCCAUCGUCGGAACCCACGGGUUUUCUAUCCGUUACACUGCUUUCAUUAACCCGUGGGGGAAUGCUCCAAAGACGCUCGUAUCUAAAAAUUAUUCCUGAGAAAAUAAACGAAAUUUAUUGGUCCCGGUGAGCUCUGCUCGGAGUGACUAGCCAAUCAGAAAACUCGUAAGAUUCGGCUUUUGCAUCGACUGUAAACAUGGCUGCUGCAGAGAGCAUUUUUAACUUCGAAGAACUGAAAGACUUUCAGAAAGCCGCGAUAGAGCAUCUUAUAAAAGGAAAUGACGUUUUCCUGAGUGUACGAACUGGCGCAGGAAAAUCCCUCUGUUAUCAGGCAUUUAAUCCAAUGUUUAAGGAGGAAAACCCACAUUGUUUGUGCACCGUCCUUGUAGUAUGUCCGUUAAUCAGCAUAAUGAAAGA